Molecule: ribosomal RNA, 398 nt
Filed under: Capcicada decora
Lineage: Eukaryota; Metazoa; Arthropoda; Insecta; Hemiptera; Cicadidae
Description: partial 16S ribosomal RNA
Source: RNAcentral
UGGCCGCGGUAAUUUGACCGUGCAAAGGUAGCAUAAUUAUUAGUCUUUUAAUUGAAGGCUUGAAUGAAUGAUUGGAUGAAAAAUUUACUUUAUUAAUUUAAAUUAUUUAAUUUAUCAUCUAAGUAAAAAUUCUUAGAUAAAUGAAUGGGACGAGAAGACCCUAUAGAGUUUUAUUUUUUUUGUUUAUUAUAAAAUUUCAGAACUAAUAUUUUUAUAAUAAUCAAUAAUUUUUGAUUGGGGUGAUUUUAAAAAUUAUUAAACUUUUAAUUAAUAUUUCAUUAAUUUAUGUUCAAUUGAUCCAAAAAUUUUUGAUUAUAUGAUUAAAUUACCUUAGGGAUAACAGCGUUAUUAAUUUGAAGAGUUCAAAUCGAUAAAUUAGUUUGCGACCUCGAUGUUGG